Long non-coding RNA from Cydia amplana, 1005 nucleotides. RefSeq lists it as uncharacterized. The record is from RefSeq and is a predicted model, not a curated record. NCBI's taxonomy places the organism in Eukaryota, Metazoa, Arthropoda, Insecta, Lepidoptera, Tortricidae. The transcript has 2 exons.
AUAGCAUCGUGAGAUGAAUGAUUUAUCAAUAAAAUCAUUUACAAUUGCAGUUAAGUGUUAAAAGUGUUUGUGUCUAACAUAGUGAACCGUCACAGUGCCGUGAAAAGACAAUUUUUAUCGUAUAUUAGUGUCGAAUUGAAUAAUAUAUUAUUAACAGUGCUUGGAAUUACAGUAUCGAUUAGACUGCUCAACUUUAUAAACUUUUUCAAAAUCUUUUAUAUGAGCUUUGAUAUACACAAUAGCCUAAAUGAAUUUGUAUCUUAACACGUUUUGAUAUUGAGUAUGAUUAGUCACUAUUUAUACAGUUGCGUGCGUGUUGUGUGCCCGAGAAGAUAAAAAAAAUGAAAAUGAAUGCAUUCCAGACUAUUUAUUAUCUUUGUUCUUCUUGGCGCGGCCACGCACUGCCCGCUUUCUCUCUGUAGCCACACUGUUCCUCGGCCCUAUAUGUAAUAUGACGUAGAGUUUUCCAUAGAGCAUUUUGUCUAUGAUUAAUGUUGUUGAGCUGCGUGCCACCAGCCAGUAUUUAGACGAGACGUAGAGGCGAGAUCUUACAAAGUAAUGAUAGGUUCUUUGUUAUUUAGUUAGCUAACUUUUGUAAAUAACUAAAUGGAAUAAACAUUUUAUUAUUUAAUUUGUAAUAUUUGUGUGAUCAGACUGUUACUCUAUGAUUUAUUUGUUACAAGUGAGUUGUUACUUUAUGAACAAUCAAACAUAUCUGUUAGGUAAAUAGAUUUUUUUAUUUAUCCUUUUUGACUGGUUUGUUUACUUAUAAUUUUAAAUGAAUUUAAUCUAGUGAAUGUAUCCAUUAUAAAUCGUUAUAUAUUCCUCAUAAUAAUUAUAAUAAUUAUACUCCAUUACUUCUAAAAACUUCAUUCUAUUUAUGCCUAUGUAGCUAUGUGUCUGUAACCAUGAUAUGUGUAAAGUAUGAUAUGUGAUGAAAUGUUACUGCAUUCAAUACUGGUUGUAAAGUGAAACUAUUUAAAAUAAAGUAACAGAAAUAAAUUA